RNAcentral lists this ribosomal RNA (402 nucleotides) under uncultured bacterium. RNAcentral's name for it is "partial 16S ribosomal RNA". It matches the Rfam family "Bacterial small subunit ribosomal RNA", at positions 359 to 776 of the family's 1533-position model. The record is from RNAcentral.
GAAUAUUGCGCAAUGGGGGAAACCCUGACGCAGCAACGCCGCGUGAAGGAAGAAGGCCUUCGGGCUGUACACUUCUCUUAUUAGGGACGAACAAAUGACGGUACCUAAGCAACAAGCUACGGCUAACUACGUGCCAGCAUCCGCGGUAAUACGUAGGUGGCAAGCGUUGUCCGGAAUUACUGGGUGUAAAGGGCGUGUAGGCGGGAAGGCAAGUCAGAUGUGAAAUUCCGGGGCUUAACCUCGGCGCUGCAUCUGAAACUGUAUUUCUUGAGUAUCGGAGAGGAAAGCGGAAUUCCCAGUGUAGCGGUGAAAUGCGUAGAGAUUGGGAGGAACACCAGUGGCGAAGGCGGCUUUCUGGACGAAAACUGACGCUGAGGCGCGAAAGCGUGGGGAGCAAACAGG